CGGAGGGUGCAAGCGUUGUCCGGAUUUAUUGGGUUUAAAGGGUGCGUAGGCGGCCUAUUAAGUCAGUGGUGAAAUCCUAUAGCUUAACUAUAGAAUUGCCAUUGAUACUGAUUGGCUUGAGUACAGACGAGGUAGGCGGAAUUGAUAGUGUAGCGGUGAAAUGCAUAGAUACUAUCAAGAACACCGAUUGCGAAGGCAGCUUACUAGGCUGUAACUGACGCUGAGGCACGAAAGCGUGGGGAGCAAACAGGAUUAGAUACCCUGGUAGUCCACGCCGUAAACGAUGAUUACUCGAUGUUAGCGAUAUACCGUUAGCGUCUUAGCGAAAGCGUUAAGUAAUCCACCUGGGGAGUACGCUCGCAAGAGUG
RNAcentral lists this ribosomal RNA (368 nucleotides) under uncultured organism. RNAcentral describes it as "bacterial SSU rRNA". It matches the Rfam family "Bacterial small subunit ribosomal RNA", at positions 526 to 896 of the family's 1533-position model. The record is from RNAcentral.